RNAcentral lists this ribosomal RNA (460 nucleotides) under uncultured bacterium. Its description in RNAcentral is "partial 16S ribosomal RNA". It matches the Rfam family "Bacterial small subunit ribosomal RNA", at positions 338 to 795 of the family's 1533-position model. The record is from RNAcentral.
CCUACGGGCGGCAGCAGUGAGGAAUAUUGGUCAAUGGCCGGAAGGCUGAACCAGCCAAGCAGCGUGAAGGAUGACUGCCCUACGGGUUGUAAACUUCUUUUAUAAAGGAAUAAAGUGAGGCACGUGUGCCUUUUUGUAUGUACUUUAUGAAUAAGGAUCGGCUAACUCCGUGCCAGCAGCCGCGGUAAUACGGAGGAUGCGAGCGUUAUCCGGAUUUAUUGGGUUUAAAGGGUGCGUAGGUUGUUUUUUAAGUCAGCGGUGAAAGUUUGUGGCUCAACCAUAAAAUUGCCGUUGAAACUGGAAGACUUGAGUGUGUUUGAGGUAGGCGGAAUGCGUGGUGUAGCGGUGAAAUGCAUAGAUAUCACGCAGAACUCCGAUUGCGAAGGCAGCUUACUAAGCCAUAACUGACACUGAAGCACGAAAGCGUGGGGAUCAAACAGGAUUAGAUACCCUAGUAGUC